AGAAAGGAAAGAAAAAUAGCUGUCAUAUAUAUAUAUAUAUAUAUAUAUAUAUGACAGCUAUUUUUCUUUCCUUUCUU
Non-coding RNA from Pelobates cultripes (western spadefoot toad), 77 nucleotides. The record is from the annotation of a GenBank genome assembly. Lineage: Eukaryota; Metazoa; Chordata; Amphibia; Anura; Pelobatidae.